Long non-coding RNA from Gadus macrocephalus (Pacific cod), 2335 nucleotides. RefSeq lists it as uncharacterized. The record is from RefSeq and is a predicted model, not a curated record. The transcript is spliced from 2 exons. NCBI's taxonomy places the organism in Eukaryota, Metazoa, Chordata, Actinopteri, Gadiformes, Gadidae.
AUAACUGAUUAUAGGCUUUUCCAAUAUUGAUAUUAAAGGCAAAUAGCCUGCAGAGAUCACCAGUUUCAUGGCUUCACAAACCAUUUUACAGUCAGUCCCCAUAGACUAUCUAACUGCUGUUGGGAGGAUCAUUUCGAUAGUUAAUAUUGAAAAUAUUAAAGUGUAAUAGAUGAUACACACUGCAAACCUAUUCAAUUAUAUUUGGUGCCUUCCUGUCCCAAACCUGUUUCCUGUGGCGUAAGAAUAUGACCUAUUUAUUUCCCCAUUGCUUGUUUGUUCCCCUAUCUCUGACAUGUUUCCCAUCGUCCCCAUCAUAAACAGAGACCCUUUCUCAUCAGUCUGGGAAAACACAAACCCUCUUCAACGACUCCAUCUCAGGAUGGGAAAUCCAGCAUUUGAUAUAAUCUGUCCUGGCAGAAGCGGACAGACAGACAUGCCUCCGUCAUCAAGUGUCCGAACACCUUCGGUGUCAAACUGAUAUUAGUCCCCUGCUUCAGUUCCAAGAAAUGGUUACCCAAAAUCGUUGGGUAAUAAAGUAGGAUGUUCCUUUUUUCGACCAUCUGCCUCUGAAUGUUGCCCCUUCUUCCUGUUUUUGGACCAUAAUAAGUGUGAGGUGAGGACACUGGUUAUCAGUGCUAAAGUCAGCCAUUUUUAUCAAAACAUUUGGAGUGGAAUGUCCUGCUUCCACGAUGACUGAUAACAUCACAUAACAUCUAUGUUUUACUCUGCGCACACAAACAAGCACACACAUACGCACACACACACACACACACACACACACACACACACACAAGCAUGCACACAAGCUAACACAUACGCAUGCCCACACACAAAGCGCACAACAAGAAUACACACUCAUGCACACGCAUGCACACAUGCGCACACACACGCACACAAACACACACACACAAACAGACUCCUACACACACACACACACACAAAAGUUGAGCAAUCUCCAGUCCAUCUAAGGGUUGCUGGUACCCCAGCAUUCCUUGAGAAAUUCAAGUUCAGAUGCCCAUGAGCAAGCCCUAUUAAUCUAGCCAGGCAUUGCAUUGCUGCCCUUCUCCAGUGGAUGUGCGAGUUUGAAGGCAGUAAUGUUGCAAUAAUGUGCUCUGCCCAUGAGUCAAAGCAAUUUUCUAACCCUUACUCAGAUCUGGAUUCUGGGUUCAGACCUUGGAAUGACUAAGCACCCACUUGGCAUCUUGCGUGUGGUUGGGAAUUAAACCUGAGGUAAGCUGUGACACGCUGGCAGACCGGCUGCACUACAUGAGGACGGUCACGUAGCGACCAGCAGCUUCUGCUCUUUGACUUGUGGAGUAUUUGGAAAGGAGCUCAUUGAGACGCCGUUUGUGUGAGUUUGUGGCGAUUGGUUGUGGAAUAAUAACACUUGUUUCCAUGGAAUACUACUAUUAUUGCAUAAGACAUGGAUGGGAACUCGACCCUAACCGGAAUCACAGCAAGAAAUGUACCUACAUUUGUUUUUGCAAGAGAUAAUCUAUAAAAUGUUCGUUUACUUAGAUUUGAAUAAAUGUAUCAUUCAGCAGCCUUUUCUGUGAUAGCAUUACGCAAACAUGAUAACCACUUUUCCGACUGGAGUUUGAAGAACUAAAGAUCUUUAUGGUCCAGGCCUCCCCUACACAGCUGGAGAACAUCUUUCUAAUGCAUUCUCCCUGGCAUGGAGCCAGCGGAGGGGAGCCAGAACAGUGGCUCCUGAUGACCAAAGCAAAUCUGUUGUAGCAUCGAAAACCAAAAACCACGGCCCUUCCAGACAUCCAUCAUCAAACAACGUGUCUCCCAGUCCUCGCUCAGGGAGAACGAAGGGACCACAACGCCACGUCGCGGUAUGUAUACGUGAGGCCACCGCAAUAACAACAAUGGCAGCCGGCAUUGAGGAGCUGACAGGGUCCAGCUGGGCGUAGGGGGUUGUCAGGCCGGGGCGCUCCAUCACCGAGCGUGAGCGGAACAUCAACACACUUCAACAGAGCUGCACCGGGUCACAGCAGCCCGCCCCAGAGAAGGCACAGAGGAGUAGAGGGGUCUGCUACUGCACGUACUGAUGUGGAGUGAAUGCAAGCAACAGACUUGACCGUUCAAUGAACGUCACUUCACUUCGGCUGUAAGGAAAAGUAAAAAGCUGUAGGAAAUCUGCCCAGUCCACGGGGACUUUGUGCUGCAGAACAAGAGGUGGGAUUAGUGUUUAGGGGUGCAUUGUUUUUUUUGGCAGAAUUAGUUACUAGUCAUGAUAAAUAAGACUGACUGAAAUCAGAGAACCCAUGUUUAUUUCGCUAUUUGGAUGUUUAUUUAGCGUCUAAAUAAACUAAACGUCUAAAAGUUA